GAUGAACGCUGGCGGCGUGCCUAAUACAUGCAAGUCGAGCGAACAGAUGAGGAGCUUGCUCCUCUGACGUUAGCGGCGGACGGGUGAGUAACACGUGGAUAACCUACCUAUAAGACUGGGAUAACUUCGGGAAACCGGAGCUAAUACCGGAUAAUAUAUUGAACCGCAUGGUUCAAUAGUGAAAGACGGUUUUGCUGUCACUUAUAGAUGGAUCCGCGCCGCAUUAGCUAGUUGGUAAGGUAACGGCUUACCAGGCAACGAUGCGUAGCCGACCUGAGAGGGUGAUCGGCCACACUGGAACUGAGACACGGUCCAGACUCCUACGGGAGGCAGCAGUAGGGAAUCUUCCGCAAUGGGCGAAAGCCUGACGGAGCAACGCCGCGUGAGUGAUGAAGGUCUUCGGAUCGUAAAACUCUGUUAUUAGGGAAGAACAAAUGUGUAAGUAACUAUGCACGUCUUGACGGUACCUAAUCAGAAAGCCACGGCUAACUACGUG
RNAcentral lists this ribosomal RNA (496 nucleotides) under uncultured bacterium. Its description in RNAcentral is "partial 16S ribosomal RNA". It matches the Rfam family "Bacterial small subunit ribosomal RNA", at positions 28 to 507 of the family's 1533-position model. The record is from RNAcentral.